AGACCGAUAGCGAACAAGUAGAGUGAUCGAAAGAUGAAAAGCACUUUGAAAAGAGAGUUAAACAGCACGUGAAAUUGUUGAAAGGGAAGCGCUUGCGACCAGACUUGUGCUCGUCGAAUCAGCCGUCGCUCGUCGGCGGCGCAUUUCGGCGGGCUCAGGCCAGCAUCAGUUCGCUGUGGGGGAGAAAGGCGGUAGGAAUGUGGCUCCUCGGAGUGUUAUAGCCUACCGUAUAAUACCCCUCGGCGGACUGAGGACCGCGCAUCUGCAAGGAUGCUGGCGUAAUGGUUGUCAGCGACCCGUCUUGAAACACGGACCAAG
Molecule: ribosomal RNA, 318 nt
Filed under: Petriella setifera
Lineage: Eukaryota; Fungi; Ascomycota; Sordariomycetes; Microascales; Microascaceae
Description: LSU rRNA
Rfam family: Eukaryotic large subunit ribosomal RNA
Source: RNAcentral